Molecule: ribosomal RNA, 515 nt
Filed under: Arthopyrenia salicis
Lineage: Eukaryota; Fungi; Ascomycota; Dothideomycetes; Pleosporales; Arthopyreniaceae
Description: eukaryotic LSU rRNA
Rfam family: Eukaryotic large subunit ribosomal RNA
Source: RNAcentral
CUCAAAUUUGAAAUCUGGCCCUUUCAGGUUCCGAGUUGUAAUUUGCAGAGGGUGCUUUGGUGUCGGCCGUGGUCUAAGUUCCUUGGAACAGGACGUCACAGAGGGUGAGAAUCCCGUACGUGGCCGCCGGUCUUCACCGUGUAAAGCCCCUUCGACGAGUCGAGUUGUUUGGGAAUGCAGCUCUAAAUGGGAGAUACAUUUCUUCUAAAGCUAAAUAUUGGCCAGAGACCGAUAGCGCACAAGUAGAGUGAUCGAAAGAUGAAAAGCACUUUGGAAAGAGAGUCAAAAAGCACGUGAAAUUGUUGAAAGGGAAGCGCUUGCAGCCAGACGUGCCCGCAGUUGCUCACCUGGGCUCUCGCCCGGGGCAUUCUUCUGCGGGCAGGCCAGCAUCAGUUCGGGCGGUUGGAUAAAGGCCUCUAUCACGUAUCUUCCUUCGGGAUGACCUUAUAGGGGAGGCGCAACACGACCAGCCUGAACUGAGGACCGCGCAUCAGCUAGGAUGCUGGCGUAAUGGC